CUACGGGAGGCACCAGUUAGGGAUAUUCGGCAAUGGGGGAAACCCUGACCGAGCAAUGCCGCGUGAAUGAAGAAGUAUUUCGAUAUGUAAAGUUCUGUUGUUAAGGAAGAAAGGUACGAAUAGGAAAUGAUUCGUAAUUGACGAUACUUAACCAGAAAGCCCCUGCUAACUACGUGCCAGCAGCAGCGGUAAUACGUAGGGGGCGAUCGUUAUCCGUAAUUAUUGGGCGUAAAGGGUGCGUAGGCGGCCUGUCAAGUCCGAGUUGAAAGCCCACGGCUUAACCGUGGAGGGUGCUCGGAAACUGAUAGGCUUGAAUCCAGAAGAGGCAAGUGGAAUUCUAUGUGGAGCGGUGGAAUGCGUAGAUAUAUGGAGGAACACCAGUGGCGAAGGCGGCUUGCUGGGCUGGUAUUGACGCUGAUGCACGAAAGCGUGGGGAGCAAACAGGAUUAGAUACCCGCGUAGUC
RNAcentral lists this ribosomal RNA (464 nucleotides) under uncultured bacterium. RNAcentral's name for it is "partial 16S ribosomal RNA". It matches the Rfam family "Bacterial small subunit ribosomal RNA", at positions 339 to 795 of the family's 1533-position model. The record is from RNAcentral.